UACGUAGGUGGCAAGCGUUGUCCGGAUUUACUGGGCGUAAAGGGCGUGCAGGCGGUCUGUUAAGUCUAGGGUGAAAGCUCCCGGCUCAACUGGGAGAGGUCCUUGGAUACUGGCGGACUUGAGGGAGGCAGAGGAAAGUGGAAUUCCCGGUGUAGUGGUGAAAUGCGCAGAUAUCAGGAAGAACACCCGUGGCGAAGGCGGCUCUCUGGAACGCAACUGACGCUGAGACGCGAAAGCGUGGGGAGCAAACAGG
This 253-nucleotide ribosomal RNA is filed under the name uncultured bacterium. RNAcentral describes it as "partial 16S ribosomal RNA". It matches the Rfam family "Bacterial small subunit ribosomal RNA", at positions 524 to 776 of the family's 1533-position model. The record is from RNAcentral.